AGCUUCAUGGCGCAAUGGAAGCGCGCCGGGCUCAUAACUCGGAGGGUCUCCGAUCGAAACGGAGUGAGGCUA
This is a non-coding RNA of Hypoxylon fuscum, 72 nucleotides long. Lineage: Eukaryota; Fungi; Ascomycota; Sordariomycetes; Xylariales; Hypoxylaceae. The record is from the annotation of a GenBank genome assembly.